GGAAGAAAACCCUGCCCUCAAAAAAGACACAACUAAUGUUUGCCAGACAACAUCUUGGUAAUGAUCAAAACUGCUGGAACAAUGUGCUCUGAACAGGGAUUUCAUGUGCCAGUGACCCCAGUGACCCCAGUGACCUCAGUGACCUCAGUGACCUCAGUGAGAAUUAGCCCAUUGUCCCACCAGCUUUGGGAGAAAGAAAAAAGAAACGCUAGCCAAUAGAGAAUCCAAUGGAGAAUUGCUUAUGUGGUCGAUUCUGGAAAACAAACAACAUCCUGGUCCUCGUCUAUGGCUAUUAUUUGUCACCAAGGUCAACCUUCCUGACCUUCCCGACCUUCCCGACCUUCCCUCAACUCCCAAAACUGUGUUCAACUUAGUGUUCAGCAUUGAACCAAAAUAAAUUCCUAAUGGUCGAUUGUAAAGUAUAAUGAACAAUGAACAAAAAAUUGGGAAUUAAAUAUGUAAUA
Long non-coding RNA from Esox lucius (northern pike), 464 nucleotides. RefSeq lists it as uncharacterized. The record is from RefSeq and is a predicted model, not a curated record. The transcript is spliced from 3 exons. NCBI's taxonomy places the organism in Eukaryota, Metazoa, Chordata, Actinopteri, Esociformes, Esocidae.